RNA transcript from Cinclus cinclus, 4097 nucleotides. It is a transcript of the gene named oxoglutarate dehydrogenase, with no coding region annotated. The transcript has 21 exons. NCBI's taxonomy places the organism in Eukaryota, Metazoa, Chordata, Aves, Passeriformes, Cinclidae. The record is from RefSeq and is a predicted model, not a curated record.
CAGAAUAUGUUCAGUUGGAAGGGACCCACAAGGACCAUCAAGUCCAGUUCCUGGCCCUGCACAAGACUAUCCCCAAGAGUCACACCUUGUGCCUGAAAGCAUUGUCUAAAUGCUUUUUGAACUCUCAAGCUUUGUACUUUGACCACUUCCCUGGGGAGUCUGUUCCAGUGCCCAAACACCCUCUGGGUGAAGACCCUUUUUCUAAUAUCUAACCUAAGCCUUCACUGACACAACCCGUGGGUCCUGUUACUGGUCACUACAGGGAAGAGAUCAGUGUCUGAACUAGAUUCAGCAAGACAAACCUGGAAUGCUGGCUAGGAAAAUGCUGGCCAUGUAGGUGUGUUGUUUUUUCUAGUCCCUUGUGAAAUUUAAUUUUAAUCUGGUGAACACAUGAUAAUUGCUUUGACAUUGGGCUGCUGCUCAUUAAACUGGUCUGGGAUAUGGAAACCUGCCAGCUGGGUCACCUCUAGCCUUGGGUCCUGCCUCUUGCGGAAGGAGCUGGGUGGAAAGGGAAGCUCCAAGAAGAGUUACUCCAAGUGCCUGCACUUCCUUCAGUGUGAUCUCCAGUGCUUUCCUUGGGCAGCGGUGGUUGAUUGAAUGUGUGUAAAACCCCAUGGCUGACCAUAUGGCAAACCACCUGGCUAACCCCAGGCCUCCCAGUACAUGCCCUACUGAAAGCUGCAAGGUGGCACUUCUCAAAGGUCCCACACACUGGCUCUGGAUUACUUUUCUGGGUUCUCUGAGCAGGGGAGAGCCCCUCUCUGUGUCUUUCAUCUGCACUGAUAUUCUUGGGUCUGGGCUUUUGAGGAGAAGCAGUCUUUCCUGGAGCCCAUUUCUCAAGUGCUUUGCACUACUAUACCCCUACUUUACAAGUGAUUUUCCCUGUAGAAGGUUUCUUCCCAGCUUUAUCCUGGUGCACAUCACAACAAACCAAGAAGAAAACAACGGCCGAGCAGACUGGUCAGAGAAAUGGAAGCCCAGACCUACCUGUGAGGGAGAGUGAUGGAAGAAGCUGAAAUCAAGAGAUGCGGGUGGCUUUGGUGUGCAGCAGCUCAUUUGAGCUGGUGUUGGGUACCCACCAGGCAAAUUUGCUUUGAAUUGUUGUUGUGACAGAUGAUGAUGCCAUGCUGCCAGGGAUGGGAGAGGCAGACCGGCCAUGCCAAGUGUACUGAGUGAAAACUGCAUUUCCAAGCCAUCAGAGACCUGGCUGUGGGACAGGGAGCUUGUGUGAACCAACAGGACAAAAAUGCUUAACUUAAGGACUUGUGCAGCAAAACUGAGGCCAUUGACGGCCUCACAGACUGUAAAGACAAUAUACCAACACAGACCGGCAGCACCCAGGACGUUCCAACAGCUCAGGUGCUACAGUGCACCGGUGGCUGCUGAACCAUUUCUGAGUGGGACUAGUUCAAACUAUGUGGAGGAAAUGUAUUAUGCUUGGCUGGAAAAUCCCAAAAGUGUACAUAAGUCAUGGGACAUCUUUUUUCGCAACGCCAAUGCUGGAGCUGCUCCAGGCGCUGCUUACCAAAGCCCCCCUCCACUGACUACCAGCCUCUCCACCCUGUCCCAAGCCCAGUCCCUGGUUCAGGCACAGCCUAACGUGGAUAAACUGGUGGAGGACCAUCUUGCAGUGCAGUCUCUCAUCAGGGCAUAUCAGAUUCGAGGGCAUCAUGUAGCACAACUCGAUCCACUGGGCAUCUUGGAUGCAGAUCUGGACUCCUCCCUUCCAGCUGAUAUUAUCACAUCCACAGACAAACUGGGCUUUUAUGGUCUGGAUGAAUCUGACCUCGACAAAGUUUUCCACUUGCCCACAACCACUUUCAUCGGUGGAAAUGAAUCAGCUCUUCCGCUCCGGGAAAUCAUCCGUCGGCUGGAGAUGGCAUAUUGCCAGCACAUUGGCGUGGAGUUCAUGUUCAUCAAUGACCUGGAGCAGUGCCAAUGGAUCCGGCAGAAGUUUGAGACCCCAGGCAUCAUGCAGUUCACCAGUGAAGAGAAGCGCACACUGCUGGCCAGGCUGGUCCGCUCUACCAGGUUUGAGGAGUUCCUCCAUCGGAAAUGGUCUUCAGAGAAGCGUUUUGGUCUGGAGGGAUGCGAAGUGCUGAUCCCAGCCUUAAAGACCAUUAUUGAUAAGUCAAGUGAGAAGGGAGUGGAUUAUGUGAUCAUGGGGAUGCCUCACAGGGGACGCCUGAAUGUUCUUGCCAACGUGAUCAGGAAAGAGCUGGAGCAGAUCUUCUGCCAGUUCGACUCCAAGCUGGAGGCUGCUGAUGAGGGCUCUGGUGACGUGAAGUACCACCUGGGAAUGUACCACCGGCGGAUUAACCGUGUCACUGACAGGAACAUCACCCUUUCCUUGGUGGCAAAUCCUUCUCAUUUGGAAGCAGCUGAUCCUGUUGUUCAAGGCAAAACUAAGGCAGAGCAGUUUUACUGUGGGGACACAGAGGGGAAGAAGGUGAUGUCCAUCCUCCUGCAUGGAGAUGCUGCAUUUGCAGGGCAAGGCAUUGUGUACGAGACAUUUCACCUGAGUGACCUUCCCUCCUACACCACCCACGGCACUGUCCAUGUUGUAGUCAACAACCAGAUUGGCUUCACUACAGACCCCCGGAUGGCCCGCUCCUCCCCGUACCCGACUGACGUAGCCCGUGUAGUCAACGCACCAAUCUUCCAUGUCAAUGCAGAUGACCCUGAGGCCGUUGUCUAUGUGUGCAAUGUGGCAGCAGAAUGGCGAAGCACCUUCCACAAGGAUGUGGUGGUGGAUUUGGUUUGUUACAGGCGCAACGGGCACAAUGAGAUGGAUGAACCUAUGUUCACGCAACCCUUGAUGUACAAACAGAUCCGGAAACAGAAGCCAGUGCUGCAGAAAUACGCAGAGCUGCUGAUUUCCCAGGGGGUGGUAAAUCAGCCAGAAUACGAGGAGGAAAUUGCCAAGUAUGAUAAGAUUUGUGAGGAGGCCCAUGCCAGAUCCAAGGAUGAGAAGAUCUUGCACAUCAAGCACUGGCUGGACUCACCUUGGCCAGGUUUCUUCACUUUGGAUGGGCAGCCUCGGAGCAUGACCUGCCCUUCCACUGGCCUCAAUGAAGAGGACCUGACGCACAUUGGUCAAGUGGCCAGCUCGGUGCCAGUGGAGGAUUUCACUAUCCAUGGAGGUCUGAGCCGUAUUCUGAAAACCCGUGGGGAGAUGGUGAAGAACCGGAUGGUUGACUGGGCCCUGGCAGAGUACAUGGCAUUUGGUUCCCUGCUCAAAGAGGGCAUCCACAUCCGCCUGAGUGGCCAGGACGUUGAGAGGGGGACAUUUAGCCAUCGCCACCAUGUCCUGCAUGAUCAGAAUGUGGACAAGAGGACCUGUAUCCCCAUGAACCACCUCUGGCCCAACCAGGCUCCGUACACUGUCUGCAACAGCUCCCUGUCAGAGUACGGUGUCUUGGGAUUUGAGCUGGGCUUUGCUAUGGCCAGUCCCAAUGCCCUGGUGCUUUGGGAAGCCCAGUUUGGGGAUUUCCACAACACUGCUCAAUGCAUCAUCGACCAGUUCAUCUGUCCUGGGCAGGCCAAGUGGGUCAGGCAGAAUGGCAUUGUCCUGCUGCUUCCCCACGGUAUGGAGGGCAUGGGUCCUGAGCACUCCUCUGCCCGCCCAGAGCGAUUCCUGCAGAUGUGCAACGAUGAUCCCGAUGUCUUCCCUAAGCUGGAUGACUUUGAUGUGCGUCAGCUCUAUGAGUGCAACUGGAUUGUCGUGAACUGCUCCACUCCAGCCAACUUCUUCCAUGUCCUCCGGCGCCAGAUCCUCCUGCCCUUCCGCAAACCGGCACCCACUUCCUCCGUGUCAUCCCUGACAGUGGCCCUGCAGCCCAGAACCCCGAGCAGGUGAAGCGGGUGCUGUUUUGCACUGGCAAGGUGUACUAUGACCUGACCCGCGAGCGCAAGGCCCGGCAGAUGGAGGCUGAUGUGGCCAUCACCAGGGUGGAGCAGCUCUCCCCGUUCCCCUUUGACCUCCUCCAGCGGGAAGCUCAGAAAUACCCAGCUGCCGAGCUGGUAUGGUGCCAGGAGGAGCACAAGAACCAGGGCUACUAUGACUAUGUCAAACCCCGGCUUCGCACCACCAUCAA